This 272-nucleotide ribosomal RNA is filed under the name uncultured bacterium. RNAcentral's name for it is "partial 16S ribosomal RNA". It matches the Rfam family "Bacterial small subunit ribosomal RNA", at positions 523 to 796 of the family's 1533-position model. The record is from RNAcentral.
AUACGGAGGGUGCAAGCGUUGUUCGGAAUUACUGGGCGUAAAGCGCGUAGGCGGCUUGGUAAGUCAGAUGUGAAAGCCCGGGGCUCAACCCCGGAAGUGCAUUUGAAACUAUCAGGCUUGAGUAUGGGAGAGGGAAGUGGAAUUCCUGGUGUAGAGGUGAAAUUCGUAGAUAUCAGGAGGAACACCGGUGGCGAAGGCGACUUCCUGGACCAAUACUGACGCUGAGGCGCGAAGGCGUGGGGAGCAAACAGGAUUAGAAACCCCGGUAGUCC